RNAcentral lists this ribosomal RNA (253 nucleotides) under uncultured bacterium. RNAcentral's name for it is "partial 16S ribosomal RNA". It matches the Rfam family "Bacterial small subunit ribosomal RNA", at positions 524 to 776 of the family's 1533-position model. The record is from RNAcentral.
UACAGAGGGGGCAAGCGUUGUUCGGAAUUACUGGGCGUAAAGGGCUCGUAGGCGGCCAACUAAGUCGGAUGUGAAAUCCCCAGGCUUAACCUGGGAACUGCAUCCGAUACUGGAUGGCUUGAAUCCGGGAGAGGGAUGCAGAAUUCCAGGUGUAGCGGUGAAAUGCGUAGAUAUCUGGAGGAACACCGGUGGCGAAGGCGGCAUCCUGGACCGGCAUUGACGCUGAGGCGCGAAAGCCAGGGGAGCAAACGGG